UAAGGAAUUGGCUUAUAAAGUUGUGGGUUCUGGCAAGUUUGAAAUCUGCAGGAUGGAAUGGCAGGCUGGAGACCCAGGGAUUGAGUUGAUGCUGCAGUCCCACAUCUCAAGGCAAUAUACUAGCAGAAUUCCUUCUUCUUGGGGCCCUUACUUUUUUCUUUAAGGCCUUCAACUCAUUGGAUGGAACUUGUUACAGAAGGUAAUCUGCCUUACUCAGAGUCUGUUGAUUUAAAUGCUAAUCAUAAUAUCUGGAUUGGCGCUUGAUCAAAAACAAGGGUACCAUGAUCAAGCCAAUUUAACACAUAAAAUCAACCAUAAGAGGAACAAUAAAGAGAUGUGAGUUUAUUUACUAAUUUUAAGUUCAUGUAGUAUUAUUUAGAUGACCUUGGCCAGGAAAGUUGCAUUUAUUAUUCAGUAUUAUAGCAAGUCGCCAUGAAGCAAGAAAAAAACAAUUGAUUAUGACAAAUAAGAGAGAGGCCCUACAGAAAACAAUUAGAAACAUAAUCAAAUGUGUUUGAUAACUUCAAAUUCAUUGUUACUGCUUAUAUAAAGAAAGUUCACUCUCACAGAGCGUUUGUUACAUAAAAGAAUUAAGCCAAGCUCAUGUAAACCAAGAGCUGUGGGAGAAAAACAAAAAGAAUGUGUACAUCAGCAAUUUAAUUUAAGCUUAAAAGAUUUUUACUAUCAAGAUUUUAUCUUGAUUUAAAUAUCAAGAUUUAUUUUAUCUUGAUUUAAAUAUAAAGAUUUAAAUCAAAUUAAAAGAUUUUAAUCAAGUAUUUGAAAACCUGAAGAUAUAAUAUUUCUUUGCCCAGGACAAGAUGUCCUAUUCAUAGUGCAGACGAAAACGAUAUAAAAAGAGGGAAAGGAAAAAGUGGUCCCUAGUAUGUGUUGAUCUAGAUUAAUAGUUGCAGUGUGCAAUGUUGUAAAUUUAACUUUUCUUGCUGUUUGUGCACUAAAGUGUACUCAAUUGGCCCAAAAGAAUUAAUGCAACUUCUAAAAGUAGGCCAACUAAUUUAUAGGCAAUAGCUUACAUACCAGGAAAACUGGAUCAAUAAAGUAAUGUUAUAUUUAUUUCCAAGAAACCUAGUAAUAUUUUUCUCAUUGAAAAGUGAGCAGGAAUGAAGUCAAUCAUAAAGUGCUUUUUUUCUGACAGUGGAAUGAGCACAAGAAAACACCUCUGAUGAAGGUGUAUGAAUCACUGACCAGGAAGGCGAGGAGGAAGAGAAGGAACAUGCACAUGGCAGGAGAAAUCUGAUAAAUCUUUCUCAACCUGGCAGAAGGAGAAUGUAAAGAUCUAGGAAAUGGGUCAAAAUUAAGGCCAACACCAAGAAGGAAAAAAAAAAAACAAAACAGUCCUGACAUUAUCAUUACUGGAAUCCCAUCCAUCCUCAUUUUUAUUCAUUCAUGUAUCAAUCUUCUGUUUAUUCAGCUGUAAUUUAUGGAGCACACACCAGGUGCCAGAGCCUGAUCUGGGAACUGAGGCUAUCUGGGAACAGGCCUAGUCUACACUGUUCUUGCCUGCCCGGUGUUCUCUGGAGGCUGCUGGCACACAAGUUCCUACAGAGGCUGAUGGCUGUUUAAGUUUCUCUGCUAAGUGUGUUUGCCAGGCCUGUGCAUGUGCUCAGAGAUGUGAUAACACCUCUGACAGGCUCCUUCACCAGUGGGUCCCAGAAGAUGUUUGGUAAAUGCCCCAGUCUCCUUACAGUUGGAGGACUGAGGCCCAUUUUGCCUCCCAGUGUUGACCUGCUCAUUGAGGCUUUCUUUAUUGGUUUUCCUCCCUUCCCUGUCUCUCUUCCCUGUUCCCUCCCUUCCAGUGUUGCCUGGGCUUACCUCCCCAUUACUAAAUAUUUUUCAAUUUUGAGGGUAAACCAAACUAAGACAGGGAAAAAGGCAGACAUGAUCCCUUCUUGUGGAACUUAUGACUUGGGAGAGAGGGCAAUAAAAAAGUGAAAGAAAUUUUAUUAUUGUCAGAACCUAAAGAAGGUAAUAACCAGGACUAUUGAGGAGUUAGAGGAGAGUGGGCCUUGUCUGGGUGCGCUUGGAGGGCCUCAGUGAGGAGGUGACUUAUGAGCUGAGGCCUGAGAGGAAGGAGCCAGGUAUGUAAAGAGAUGAAGGGAAAAUCCCAUUCCCAUGAAGCUCUUCUCUCACUACCAUCCCAGGGUCCUAGUGACAUUUAAUUCUCUUCCAGAGUUGUUCCCCCAUCCCCACAGAGUCCAAAUAUAUUUGGUUGUGACACCACUCCUGGUUCUGGAAUGUGCUCUAUGUCCACUGAGAAGGAAGGGGGUCCGCAGAGCAGCAUGGGAUUUAUUGCUUUGGGACCAGGCACCACAGGACUUUGGGUUAGGUUUGGGGUACUUGGCCUCCCCAAGAUCACGGCCUGAAUCCUUGGCUCUGUGGUAAAUGGCCUUUGCUGAGAUCUAAGCCCCUUCUCUGGAUCCAUCCUUUUCCGUCCUGCACAGCCAGGAGGGCCUCACGCCCACCCCUGAUCAAAGGACAGACGACUGGUGUGGAAGAGGGGAGAAUCCGUGGCCAGCUACUGGGACUUUCUCUCUCCCUUUCUGCUGGCCACAGCCCCAUGAGGCUGCCACUCUGGGCUGCUUUGGAUGAGGCAGAAAAGCACGUGAAGCCAGAGCAAAGGGGUUUUCGGAUACCAGGUUUUUCCUUUAUUCCUUCCAUCAGAGGGGAAGGUGAGUCAGGUUCUCACCUGUGUAAAUUCUGGGGCAUUACACAGGUAUUGUGAUUACCUCGUGGUUAAUAAUGUAUGUUGGGAAAGAGGGUAAGAAUAGUCCACUGAAUUUGGUAAUAAAGGCGUCAUUUUCUAAGGAAACAUUGCUGACUUCUUUAUAAAAUCCCAUCCUAUCCUGCAAUGACUGUGGUGGAGGACAGAAGCGGGGGGUAUCCCCCUUUUUAGCCUGCAGUGGGCCAUCUCGCUCCUGCACGCACACCAGCCGUUUACAGCAUCCGGGUCCUGCAACAACGCCGAAGUCCUCUGCGCAGACCCGACUCCUCAGUUUGUGCAACCGCUGCUGCCUCUCUGUCCCCUUCAGAGUUCCUGUUUCCGGUGUAGAGACAGGGACUUGCUUGUUCCCCGGUGACUGGCAGCCUCUGCCUGGAGGCUUGGUCUCACCAGAACAGCUCGCAGAGCGCAGCGUACUUAGCUCCGUGUUCCCGAAGGUUGCUCGGGCCAUGUCUGCACCAGGCAUUACAACAUGUGGUGCCAGAAAGGAACUCUGGAUUUGUACACGAUGAUUCCAUCCUCAUCUGUGUUUCUUGACACGUUUGGACAGGAGUCUGGCAGCCCAAGGUGAAGGAACAUUGAGUGGUCACGACUCCAGCUUUGUGCCAUUGCGCCCAGCUUUCAUCAAUCACAGCUUCAGACACUGGACCAAACAAGAUGCCAGAAAAAAAUCUGAGUGAGAAUUAUUUUUGGGGCAUAUCUUUACAAUUCUUCAGGUUGUCAUUUAUCAUAUUCUAGUCUGAGUGGGGGUGAGUUUGGACUCACAUAAAAAAAUAAAACAUAAAAAAAUGUAGAGUGGAGUUAUGGACAGGCAUACCCUGAAGACACAGCAAUGGAGGGAUAUAAAUGUGCUCCACUAGCCAGAUGUUGUGGUCUCUGACAAGGAAAUGUUGUGGGUUCAAAUUUCAGCCUCCUUAGCUUCACAGCUUAGCUCUUGUUCAUCUCCCUUGUUAAAAAUUUCUCCCUCGUUAAAAGAUUCAUGUG
Molecule: long non-coding RNA, 3721 nt
Organism: Acinonyx jubatus (cheetah)
Lineage: Eukaryota; Metazoa; Chordata; Mammalia; Carnivora; Felidae
Exons: 3
Source: RefSeq, a predicted model, not a curated record